CGUCAUUCUAUUUUUUAUCAUCACAACAAUUACACAUCACCUAAAAAUAUUAUCAUAACAAAAAACUCAAUAACAUAAAUUAGAACUAUAAAAAAAUAUGAAAAUUAUUGCUCAAUAAAAUUCAAAAAUAUUUUUAUAACAAAGUAAUGACAUAAAUAUACAAAUUUAAAUUUGAAUUAUAUAAUAAAAAAAAUAAUAACAAAUGACAAGACUUUGUAUUUAAAAGGCUUUGAAAUAAAAUAAAUUUCAAUGACGUCUAAAUUGAAAUUCAUAUCUCCUGGUGACAGUUCAUGGCAUGAAGACAAACCCGAUAUCGACGCACACUCAGGAACUCAAUUUAUUUACAACGCAAAUCAUUCACUGGCAUUAGAUUUGCAACGUAAACGUCUGCCAAUAUUUAAAAGUCGCUCCGAAAUAAUUUAUCUAUUAGAAAAUUAUCAAACACUUGUCCUGAUUGGAGAAACCGGCUGUGGAAAAAGUACCCAAGUACCUCAGUAUUUAGUAGAAGCAGGAUGGAGUGCAGAUGGGAAAAUGAUUUGCAUAACAGAGCCAAGAAGAGUUGCAGCAACUUCCUUAGCAAAUCGAGUUGCGGAUGAACGUGGUUGUAUUCUCGGUACUGAAGUUGGUUAUUCUAUAAGAUUUGACGACUGUACUGAUGAAACCACCAAAAUUAAGUAUAUGACAGAAGGAAUUUUGUUAAGAGAAAUGAUGAGUGAUCCCUUACUUACUAAGUACUGCAUUAUAAUACUUGACGAAGUACAUGAACGUACUUUAUUGACAGAUAUAAUUAUGGGAUUAUUAAAAAAAAUAAUACGAAAACGAAGGGAUUUAAAAGUUAUCGUUUCUUCAGCGACUGUUGACGCUGAAGAGUUACGAGAUUAUUUCAAUUUAAAUGCAUCGAAAGAUUCAACAAAAAAUACAGCAACUAUAUUAAGUGUUGAGGGACGUUUAUAUCCUGUUGAUAUAUUUUAUGUAAAAGAACCAGUACCUGAUUAUGUAAAAGCAGUAGUGGAUACAGCAUUAAAAAUUCACGAAACCGAAGAACCUGGUGAUAUUUUAGCUUUUCUCACUGGUAUGGAUGAAGUGGAUCGAGCUGUUUCUCUUUUAUCUGAGCAUGCAGAUCUCAUCAAAGAAGGAAAACAUAAAAUUGUCCCACUACCAAUGUAUGGAUCCCUACCGAACGCAGAUCAAUUGAAAGUAUUUUGGAAAGCACCGAAAAAUACACGAAAAAUUGUUAUUGCCACAAAUAUUGCCGAGACAUCAAUUACUAUUCCAAAUAUUGUUUACAUAAUCGAUUGUGGUUUCGCCAAAAUUCCAUGGUUUGAUGUUGAUACUCAUACAAACAGUCUGAUUGUUGCUCCAGUAUCAAAGGCAUCAGCUGAUCAACGCGCUGGUCGUGCCGGUCGUGUUCAAUCAGGAAAAGCCUACAGACUGUAUACUGAAGAUGCGUAUGAUGAUUUCAUUGAAUCAAACCCACCACAAAUGCAACGUUCAGAUUUGGCACCAGCUAUUUUACAACUCAAAGCACUAGGAAUAGAUAAUGUAUUAAGAUUUAAUUUUCCAUCAGUACCACCGAGUAAAAGUUUAGUUGCUGGACUAGAAUUACUUUACGCUUUAGAUGCUAUUGAUAGAAACGGUAACUUGACAAAACCACUGGGAUUUACAAUGGCUGAAAUGCCACUAGAACCAGUAUUUGCUAAAUGUUUAUAUACUUCAGGAGAAAUGGGUUGUUCUGAUGAAAUAUCAACAAUACUAUCAAUGCUUCAAGUACAAAAUAUAUUAAUAAGACCAUCAAGUGGUCAAGGAUCUAUAAAAGCACGUAUCGCACAUAGAAAAUUUGAAGUUGAAGAAGGUGAUCUAAUUACAAUGUUAAAUAUAUAUAAAGCUUAUGAAAAAUAUAAAUCAUCAAGUUGGUGUCAAAAAUAUUUUUUAAAUGUCAAAGGAUUGAAACGCGCUACGGAAAUACGUAAGAAAAUGCGCGUUAUGAUGAAAAAUUUAAAUAUACCAAUUACAUCAUCUAAUGGUGAUUUGAAAUUAAUUUUGCGAUGUCUCACUGCUGGUUUAUUCCCGAACGCCGCAUUUUUACAUUACACUGGUGUUUAUAAAACAGUUAGAGGUGACAAAGAUUUAUAUAUACAUCCUAAUAGUUGUCUAUAUACAAUUCAACAACCGCAAUGGAUAUUAUUCUGUGAAAUAUUACAAACAACAAAAACAUAUAUGAGAGAACUGACUGUCAUUAAUCCCGAAUGGCUUUUAGAAUUAGCUCCACAUUUUUACGAGCGAACGGCUUUGAAUUCUUUAUAAAUCUCGUCACUAAUUCCAAAAGGAUUUAUAUUUUUAUACGCUCUUUUGGCAGUCAUUAAGUUUAAGAUCAAAAGGGCAUACAAUUUUUUUUUUAUUGUUAACCAUAUCCUCCUCGAUCCUGACGCCCCAUAUAGGGGACAAUUUUGCCAAAGUCGGCAAUAUCUCAUGAAAUAUGCAGAUUAAAGGAAAAAAUCGUAGGAACAAUUUUGUAGGAAAUUAAAUUCUUGACAAAAAAAGUCAUGUUCAUUUUUUUUAUAAAAUGUGUAUUUAUGAAGAUAUUUUUAAAAAACUUUUUUAGAUCUGACGAAUUGAGCAUUUUAAGGAUUACAAAUUUGAAAAUAACAUUUUUCUAAGUAUAUAGAAACUACAACAAGCAUUAAUGAUUGAUAUGUUACGAGUUACGAAGUUGUCUAUAUUUAAGCAAAAACGUUAUUUUUGACAUUCGUUAUCCUUAAAAUGCUCAAUUGAUAAGAUCUAAUAAAGUUUUUUAAAAAUAUCUUCAUAAAUACACAUUUUAUAAAAAAAAUGAAUAUGACCUUUUUUGUCAAGAAUUUAAUUUCUUACAAAAUUGUUCCUAUGAUUUUUUCCUUUAAUCUGCAUAUUUCAUGAGAUAUUUAAAAAAAAAUCGUGAUUGCAUCGAAAAAUUAACUUUGUUCAUCCUGCGGCACAUGUUCUUUUUACUUAAAAAGAAAAAACCAAAUUGCCCACGUAUUUUUUUACUAAAAAGAAGCUUAUUAUGGAGUUUCUGAGAAAAUUUAAUUUUGAACGACCACUCUAAUAAGUAUACUUAUAAAAAAUGAUUCAAAUAGCAAACGAAAUGAUGCCUCGGGACUGAGGAGGAUAUUGUAGACUUAUUAUAAAACUGAAAUUUAUUUUUUCAAUUUUUAGCUGUAAAAUAAGUCUAUAAAAUGAUUGGCAAUAAAAAAAAUAUACGCUCGUUCGGAAUUAGUAACUCAAAAUGAUUAUGAUCAUUAUUUUAUUUAUCAAACAUUAAUUAAUGAGUGAAAUGCAUUUAUUAAUAAACAUAAAUUGUAAAUAAUGUAAAAAUACCACUAACUUUGACUAUAAAUUUAUUCACAUUACGAUUAAGUGUUAACGAGAUUUGUUUAUGCUGUUUAAUUACACGAACAUCAGAAAAUUCGUUCUGAGACAAUAGGAACUUAAAGUUCACACAUCAUUCGUUUCUAGUAUUAAAAAAUAUGUUCAAACAUCACAUGAUUUCUGAAUUACUAAGCACUCAGCUAUUAUUGAAAUGCAAUUUACAAAUUCUUUGUCAUCGAGCA
Molecule: RNA transcript, 3587 nt
Organism: Microplitis mediator
Lineage: Eukaryota; Metazoa; Arthropoda; Insecta; Hymenoptera; Braconidae
Gene name: probable ATP-dependent RNA helicase DHX35
Exons: 13
Source: RefSeq, a predicted model, not a curated record